UAAUAGCAGUCAGAAAAAUUCCCGAAUAGACCAAAUGUGUCCUUCUCUUCUGCUUGAUUGAAUAGAAGUAAAAGUAUUGACAUUAAAUAGGCAACUCAGAUAAAUGGAAAAGACGUUUUCAUAAACGUUGUUCGUUUUAGGAUUUUUUUGAAAAAUUUUAGUUGAUUUUUGAAUCUCAAAUACGGAUUAGUUAAAAUGUCGCAAAAUUUUUCAUUUGUUGAACAACAAUAGCGCUGAAUUGAAGCCGUUUAAAAGAAGCAA
This is a non-coding RNA of Schizosaccharomyces pombe (fission yeast), 261 nucleotides long. NCBI's taxonomy places the organism in Eukaryota, Fungi, Ascomycota, Schizosaccharomycetes, Schizosaccharomycetales, Schizosaccharomycetaceae. The record is from the annotation of a GenBank genome assembly.